GAACACUUUGUUCGAGGUUCCCAUUUUCAUGAACGCUUGUUCACGAUUUUGGGAACUCUUUUUUCUCCGUGUAGAUGAUCGGACCAGACACCAACUCCAUGACCUGGAACGAGUUGUGUAAUCCGUACUAGUACAUCUCCGGGGCACAAUCGGCAUAGGUCCACGACCCGUUGGCCAAGUCCGAAACAUUUCCGGUGGCGUCAAUCACUCCAGUAACAUCGGCCACAAUUGCCGUUCCGACGGACAACUAAUUCUGAUUGACCAAUGGGAAUGAAAAGCUCGACUUGGAUUGCAGUAGGAAAAGGGUGUGGCCUCGGUUGUGGCCUACACAGAAAAAAUAUGUACAUUUCCACGUCAUGUAAACUAUGUUUUUAAUGUAAAUUUGGAACAUGUAAAAAUUAAAUCGUAUGUAAAAUGCUAAAUCAGAUGUAAAAUGCAAUCAUGUAAAAUAAAAUUGCAUGUAAAUAAUAAAUUUCAUGUAAAUGGAAUUGAAUUAGGCUUUUAUGAUUCAAUCUGAAUCAUGUAAAUCUUGAAACUAAUGUAAAAAUCAUUCAAUGUAAAUGAGAAACGCAUGUAAUUGCGACCGCUGUUCACCGAGUGACAGCUAAUCAGAAUAUAACAGUUCGAAUAUUGUGGAUUUAGCUCGUAGCUGGAUUUUCUGGCAUCUUCUCACGAUCAUUGAAAACGUUCGUGGAUAGACCUACACAGAAAAAAUAUGUAAAUUUACACAGCACGUAAUUACUGUUUCUUAUGUAAACUCACUCAAUGUAAUUUUGAAAUAUGAUGUAAAGAGUAAAAAGUCGUGGAAAUUACUCCAAUGUAAAUCUAAAUCUAAUGUAAAUCAUGAAUCUAAUGGAAACGUUGAGCAUGGAAACUCAAAUCUGAUGAAUUUCUACCCGUGUUCAGCUUCCUGUAAAUUCCUAUUUAAUGUAAAUCAUAUAUCCAAUGUAUUUCUGCCAAACGUUGACUUCAAAACUACCCGAACUAAAAAUAGUUAUAUUUGGUUCUCUUUCUAUCGCUCUCAUACUUCGCUGGCCCACUGCCUGAGCCUCGACCUGAACAAGGUGAUGCUUUAGCCGAUCGUUUAUAAAAUGCGAAGAUGGCUCAGUCGGCAGCGGGUAGCAUCAGUAACACCGAACAUUCUACCCGUCGUUCGUUCGAUUCCAGUCCGGCGUUAUUCAACUUGGCCUUCUACGAGAAAGCGUCCCCUACCUGUGAAACAACUUUUUUAAAAUCCGAAUUUCCUUUUGCUGCCCGCUUCAAUCAUUUUAAAAUAGAACAUAGGCCACACCCUUUUCCUACUGCAAUCCAAGUCGAGCUUCUCAUUCCCAUUGGCCAAUCAGAAUUAGUGGAUUUGAACUAAUGUAAAUUCCAAAAGUAAUGUAAAUUCCAAAACUAAUGUAAAUUUUCAAAACUGAUGUAAAUUUCCAAUGAAUGUAAUGUCAAUUUCCAAUGAACCUAAUGUAAAUAUACAUCAUUUAUCAUGAUACCUUUUGGUACAUGAUAAAUAAUGUAAAUUUACAGAAAUAUUUUUUUCUGUGUAGGGGUUCCCAGUUGGAGUGAAAAAAAUCAAUUUAUAGAAAAAAUAUGGAUUAACAUUUUGCUUUUUUAUCACUUCUCCGACAUCAGGAAUAAUUGUUUGAACAUGCUCGGAAUUUUUUUAUUCGGUCGGAAAAAUAUUAUUUUUCUUGAAAACACUUUUAUUUUUAAUCACAUGAUCACCCCUAAUUCUGGCUCGAUGCCGCCAUCAUGCGACCGCGUGCUCCGUUUGUUUGUCAACAAAGCUGCAGCUGGACGGUGAGACGAAGUGAGGGGGGAAGAGAUUUUGACAUUUUUAUGCCCGCAUCUGGCCCGCCGCCUAUUUCGUCGGUCACUGAGCCGCCGGUCGUUUCCAGUGACCGAGUCCAGCUAGGUACUGAUCGUACAAUAUUUUGUUGUUUGGAAACGGUCGUUCCUGAACGGGUUCAGUUGAUUGCGGCUUCAACUAAGCAAUAUUGCCGCUCCUCAAAUGAUUCAAAUCAAAACAAUCGGAGUGUGUUGAUUUUUUGAAGCUGGAGGUUUGUAAAUUUGAUUUGUUUCAAGUGCUUAUUUACAUUGUUUAUUUUUAGCAUCUUCUUUAGUUCUAAGUAUCCGCAGAGCCGGGAAUGGAUUUGACUGGAUUGCUGCCGUCACCCGGCAAAGAAAACCAGUCUCUCCAAAGCACCGGAGCCGGAAUCUUCCUCCACUCGCGGUCUGAUUCUUAAGUGGACGACCCAAACGGCGACAUCCUGGAGGAUAUUUAACGGUGCAAACGCUUGGUCCCGCCGAAAAAGGAUGACGGCAAUCGGAAGGAAGCGGAUUAGGGUUCCAAUGAUCACGGGAUACCAUGAACGUCGCCAGGAUGCCAGAGGUUUCAAUUCUCUGUGAGAUUUUUGCGCAGUCAGUACAAACCGGGCGAGGUUUUUGAGAAGUUUGAUUAGUUUCCGGUUAGCGAUAGUAUCUUCAAUACUGUGAUGUAAGUUUCUACACUACUAAAAAGUAUAUGGGUCAUUCCACCUGAAGUGUUUAAAUGGCCGUAUCUCAAAACAGCCCUAUUUAUUUUUCAAAUUUGACCUCACCAUCUUAUUCCCAGGCCAAUUUUACAUAAGAAUCACUUAUCGACAGAAAGGAAUAUGUUUCGUUCUAGAGAUAUCGAAUUUUAAAGUUUUAAGUAUUUGAGAUUACCUAAAUUAGCUACACUCGCCGCAUCUGCUAGAAGCACUCGGGCACGCUGAUCAAUAACUGCUACCUGGUUAUUUAUUGAAAUAAGAUUUCAUCCCAAAUAAUCAUUUGCAAAUUAGGCAAAAGUUGAAUAUACCUACACCACUGUAGGAAACUGAGGUAUAAUCUUAAUUUAAAAAAAAAAAUAGUAUACGGUGAAUUUGUGUGCUAGUCCACAGGACAGAGCAAGAACGACACGCAAUACAGGGCAGAAUUGAAUUCCCGCAGAGCUAGCAGGAAAUUGCAAUUGAUCUUGUAAGUAACACUUAAGAAAAAGUGUAUGAUACAUUAUCGUGUUAAAAAUUAUGAAUUAACAUGAAUGAAAACUCUCGUGAAGCAUGAUUAAGGAGGAGGAUUUCUGGAAAGUAUAAAACUGAAAAAUGUAUGAAAAUCACAAAGAUUAAUCUGAUUUACUAUCUGAUUAAGAUCAAAUUUAGUUGUGUUGAUUUCGACACCGUCCGAACAAUAAUAUAAUUUUUUGUUUGUAAUAAUUUCGAAAUCUUGGAAGACGAUACAGCUGCUGUCCACUGUAUCAGAAGUAUAUGGUUUUGUUUUUGAAAUUAAUGUACCAGAAUUGAAAAAAAUCAUCAAUUAUUCAGAUGAAACUGGCUCAGAAUAUAAAAAUCGGUAUAAUAUGAUCAAUCUUUCAAACCGUAAGGCAGAUUUUGGGGUUUUUGCUGAAUGGCACUAUUUCGCUACCGCACAUGGCAAAAGCCCUAGAACCCAUGAGAAUUAUUUCAUCUACUACAGCCAGCUCUACAUGUGUUCUCGCUUCAAAUAAAAGAAGAAAUAGAAGAAAUAAUUUGAUAAAGUUGGAAGAAAUGAGGAAUUAGGAAAAAAAAGAAAAUAAUAGAAAAAUGAUAAAUUAUUGUAAAUUGUAUUGAAAAAACUCUCGUUACUUAAUCCACCUUUAGGUGGUUGGUGCCUUCCUCACAUUCAUAAAGUCAAUACAUUCAGUAAAAAUAGCAACAUUCCCUUAACAAGCAUGUCUUACAAAUCAACUUUAUUACUAAUUUCUUUUGAUAGGGUUCGCAGACCUUCAAUUUGUCUGGCUCAUCGGCAAAAAAAACCAUUCCAACGAUAGUUCGCAUGGAAGAUUCAGACAAUAUUUUUAUCACAAUAUCUGAAAUCCGACCUCUAAAAUGUGUAUAAAUAACACUUAAGUGCUAAUAACUUUUGAAAGGGGUGGCAGAUCCUCGAUGUAUUAGGCUCAUUUGAAAGGAUUGUCUAACUAACGACAGGUCGCAUGAUGGACCCGGACAUCAUUUUUACUGAAAUAUCUGAGAUCCGGCCUCCAAAAAGUUAUAAAUGUCACUUAAGUGCCAAUAACUUUUGAUAGGGUUGUCAGAUCCUUGAUGUUUUAGACUCAUUUGAAAGAUCUUUCGAUUAUCUAACUAACGACAGGACGCAUGAUGGACCCGGACAUCAUUUUUACUAAAAUAUUUGAGAUCCGGCCUCCAAAAAGUGUAUAAAUAACACUUAAGUGCAAAUAACUUUUGAUAGGGUUGUCAGAUCCUUAAUGUUUUAGGCUCAUUUGAAAGGUCUUUCGAUUGUCUAACUAACGACAGGUUGCAUGAUGGACCCGGACAUCAUUUUUACUAAAAUAUCUGAGAUCCAGCCUCCAAAAAGUGUAUAAAUAACACUUAAGUGCCAAUAACUUUUGAUAGGGUUGUCAGAUUCUUGAUGUUUUAGACUCAUUUGAAAGGUCUUUCGAUUAUCUAAUUAACGACAGGUCGCAUGAUGGACCCGGACAUCAUUUUUACUGAAAUAUCUGAGAUCCGGCCUCCAAAAAGUGUAUCAAUAACAGUUAAGUGCUAAUAACUUUUGAUAGGGUUGUCAGAUCCUUGAUGUAUUAGGCUCAUUUGAAAGGUCUUUUGAUUAUCUAACUAACGACAGGUCGCAUGAUGGACCCGGACAUCAUUUUUACUAAAAUAUUUGAGAUCCGGCCUCCAAAAAGUGUAUAAAUAACACUUAAGUGCCAAUAACUUUUGAUAGGGUUGUCAGAUCCUUGAUGUUUUAGGCUCAUUUGAAAGGUCUUUCGAUUAUCUAACUAACGAUGGGUUGCAUGAUGGACCCGGACAUCAUUAUCAUUGAAAUAUCUGAGAUCCGGCCUCCAAAAAGUGUAUAAAUAACACUUAAGUACUAAUAACUUUUGAUAGGGUUAUCAGAUCUUCAAUGUUUUGGGCUCAUUGGAAAGGUAUUUUUAAUACCUUUCUGAAAAUGUAUAACAUGAUAGGGUUUCUUGCAAAAACCACCCUUUUUACAAUCUUCCGGACAUACGCCGAAAUCGUUUUUUUAGCAUAACUUUUGAAGUACUUAACUAAACUUGCUGAUUUUAAAUAGAGACCUAUGGGACCCCAAGACGGAUCGAAUGAGACUACUACGGUCAAAAUCCGUUCAUCCAGUCCGGAGAUAAUCGAGUGACAAUUUUUUUGUCCACCCACCUACACACAUCCACACAGACAUUUGCUCAGAACAUGAUUCUGAGUCGAUAGGUAUACGUGAAGGUGGGUCUACAAGGUCGAAUUAAGAAGUUCAUUUUCCGAGUGAUUUUAUAGCCUUUCCUCAGUAAGGUGAGGAAGGCAAAACUCUGUAGCAUUUGCAAAUUAAUAUGAAAAUUUCAAAUUUUACUUAAUAUGGUUCAAUGACACUGAGAUCAGGAAAAACAUUGCAUUAAAAAUUAUCCAAUAAAUAUUCCUUAUACAUAAGGCUACCAACUGUACGGAUUUUUUCCUUACCAUACGGAUUUUCGAACCUCUUCGCGGAUUUUUAACAGGCCGGAAUUUUUGUAGGGAAUUUUACGCAUAAUACGGAUUUUUACGGAAUUUUAACAACUUUUUAAUCAUUGAAUUGCUUUUUUGAUUUGGUUGAAGCUUUUGUUAACUACACAGAAAAAAUAUGUGAAUUUACUUGACACGGAAAAAAUGAAUUACAUGUAAACUCAGUUGAUGUUAACGUAAGAUUCGACGUAAACGGUUGAAUCACACGUAAAAUCAUGUUUUUACGUAUAAUUUGUUACAAAUUUACAUCAAAUUGCAUUUAAAUUUAAAUGUUUAAUGACGUGCAAAAGUGUUACAUCAUAAAUGAUGUAACAUUCGGAAAUAUUUUUUUGUGUGUAGAAAUUUUUAUUUUUCUGUGAGUUUGAAUUAAAAAGGGAGAGUUUUCCUGGGUUUCCUCAAUUAAAACUUGAUUAUCAAUAAUUCUAGAGUUUUGUCUUUCAUAUGUUGAUAGGACCUUUAAAAAAACUCUAGAAUUGUUCUUUUAGAAAUUCCUUACUAUAUAUAUUUAUCAAUUUCCAAAGGCUUUCUAAAACUUGUGAAAACAUUUGAACAUGUGAAUUAACAAAUCUAGAGUUUUUUUUAAGGUCCUAUAAACUGUUGUGUUUCACAUGUUAUAGGACCUUUUCAAUAAAAAAAAACUCUGGAAAAGUGUUCGUGAAAACACUAAGAACGGUAUUAUUCGUAAAAGCAAACUUGACAUUUUGUAAACUUUAAAACGUUUAACAAAAAACAUUGAAGAACAUAACGAUUUGAUUCAAAUCACGGUUUAUUUUAUGAAUACUUUUAAACGUGCAACGUGUGAAAUUUGUUAGCUGUAAAAACGACUCAGUUUUAUGUUUUUAAUUCUCAAAUUUAUUAAAUUUAAUUUAUAUAAAUAAUUCAUUGACAGUUUUUGUUAUACCAUGGUGUCAUAUCGGCAAAGUGUACGGAUUUUUGCUCAGCAAGAGUUGGUAGCCUUACUUAUACAUAAAUAGAUUGUUCAAGGUAUUGAUCGUAUAAAAUUAUAAAAAUAAUUCAUCUUACCUGGUGUAGGUAGUAAUUAUUGUUCAGCACGACUGAGUGCUUCUAGCAGAUGCGGCGAGUGUAGCUGAUGUGAGGUCAAAUUUGAAAAAUAAAUAGGGCUGUUUUGAGAUACGGACAUUUAAAGUUUUCAAUUGCGCAAUACAGGUAGAAAAAAUAUUUUAAUCUGAAUUUUGAUCACAAAUUCAAAAUUGUGUUUAAGACCGACCCUCUAAGAUUUGUGGUUCCUGAGUUAUCGUCGUUUGAAGAUAGGGGUUUCGCUCAAAAAUCGCCAAAAAGUCGAUUUUUUGGGAGGGUACAAAAUGGAGGGGGUGGUCCGAUUUGGAUGAAAUUCGGGAUUUUUGCAUGUUUUGAUAGUCUCAACAGCUCUGUCACUUCUUAGAAAAUUACGUCACGAAAUCGCUGCCACCAACAAAUCUCUUGAGGAGUAUGUCUAACAGACUUAACAAUGGUUCCGGAACUGAGCUGAGCAGGAGCUUGGGCAAGCUUUGUCACCGGAAACGCUCCCACAGACAUUUGCUGUGAUUCGCCUCAGACCCUGAACCAGAUUUAUCUACCGUAACAAACCAACAGUGGUGUUUGGUGCGCUGAACUUGGCCGGUGUGUGGGAGUUGCUGUCCAUGGCGGUCCGUGGUGAAAUGACUUCCACCGGAGUCUAAUCUAUUCCGAGGGGGAGUUAAAGGUUUCCGGAUCGCAUCUUUUUAUGUUAGCUCUUCAAUACAGGUUUAAUUUAGCAAGUUAAAAGAGACUUUAGAGGAUUAUUUUCCGUAAUUUUUUAACACAAUUGAACACAAAACACUCUGCUAGAAAAUCAAAAUUGAAGUUUUGAUCCUCAGUCAAUGAAGUCAGAAAACAAAUCAAAAGAAUUGACCAAAAAAAUCCAAAAAAGUACACGUUACGGAGAAGUUGGUUAAUAAACUUUACUAAAAUUCUUGACUUAUUUUGUAUUUUGACAUAAACGUGAACUUCAGUAGUACGGUUUGUGUCUUGGAUAAGGGAAUUUGGCUCGUUUAGCUAGAUUAUGCAUGAUUCUAUUAGAGCGUGUAAUACCUGUUUUUGUUUUGAUUUGUUUUGAUUAUAAUUUUCUGGUUUGUUUCGUUUCAUUGAGUUGGUUUGGUGCUGUUCGGUGCACAGAUCAGUUUUCGGAUUGCUUUUCAGGGUUUUUUUACGCUGGAGGAUGGACUGUCCCCCUGCUGAUGCUACCUUUAGGAAUCGGUCCACCGGUGGCUAGCAGCACCAGCUGGAGUUGCUAAAAAUGUCGUGAUUGUGUUUUGCUUUAAAUUGCGAUUCUGAUGUUCUUCUUAAACUGCAGGUUCAACAGCACACGAUCUUUUCCUGCACCGUUGAGAGCUCCGGAAAUCCGGAAGUGGGUUCAAGAGGCUUCAACACAUCGUGAUAAACUUCAUCAUCCCGGUACGAGUAUCAAACUCACGGCCUCUGGAUUAGAAACCCAGCACGCCGCUAGUCGAAACCCAUUCCCUACCGGUCAGUAUUCCCAGUGAGCAUAUUUACUCUUUUAAGGUGAUCAUCAACCUUAAGUUCUGACUCGCCGAUUCUCGACGGUAAAUCUCGACGUCUGCUUAUUAUUCGCUCCAUAAGAAUCAGCAUCAAAGCCGAAAACCGAAAGGGACACAACCAAUUUGCGAAUGACCAGUAAGAGAAUCAAUAGUAGAAGUGCGGCAUGCGCUCACGACACCGGAAUCAUUCCGGACAUGGCAGUACCGCCUAUUGUAGGAGCCCUUGGCGCUGAUGGAAACGCCUACCCUGGUCAACCGAUGACUUUUAAAAACCGUAAGUAAAAGACUAAAUAUAUUUGUCAUUUUUAUUCUUAACUAACUCUGCAUACAUCUAAAACUUGUUUACAAACAAACUUUAUAAUUAGAUUACUUCAAAUCUUCUUGAAUUUAAAUAUUUUUGACAAAGAACUUUGUCCUAAGGGCUCUAUUCUGAUGAGGUGUCAAUCCAGAAAAACGAAAAAUGUCGCGCGUUACGAAAAUGUUGCAUGCUUGGUACUGGGGAAGAGGUCUGCGACGCAACAAGGCACUGUUGCGUCACCAUUUCGAGCCAAUAUAAACCCCGCUCGAUCCGCCCUAGAAAAUCAUUCUAUCGCUGGACGCCGAGGAGUGAACAACAACCUGGACCUGGAAGCAGAUGGCCUGGAGGCCCAGAAGCAAUUGGCCGAAAAGCAGCUGGCCUGGAGCAUGGAGCAGCCCAAGCGGAGGCAGGCCAGCCGGAAUAUUCUGGCCACAAGACCCGGAGUGGCCAGAACCCUCAGGGGUGUUCCGAUGGAAGGCCAUACGAGACGGGACAAUAUGGGUAUCAAACUUCUUGGAUUUUGAUACUGGUGAUGAAAAUGGCCA
Molecule: long non-coding RNA, 8899 nt
Organism: Culex pipiens pallens (northern house mosquito)
Lineage: Eukaryota; Metazoa; Arthropoda; Insecta; Diptera; Culicidae
Exons: 3
Source: RefSeq, a predicted model, not a curated record